CAACUGAAAGAGCCUUGAAUACUAGAAUAAAAACACCUAGACUUAACAAGAUUAAGUGAUACCUAAAAUUGUGGUCAUUUUAUUCGAUCUUUCCA
This 95-nucleotide antisense RNA is filed under the name Nicotiana sylvestris (wood tobacco). RNAcentral describes it as "Antisense RNA which regulates isiA expression". It matches the Rfam family "Antisense RNA which regulates isiA expression", at positions 91 to 187 of the family's 187-position model. Lineage: Eukaryota; Viridiplantae; Streptophyta; Magnoliopsida; Solanales; Solanaceae. The record is from Rfam by way of RNAcentral.